CAGUCAUCAUCUCCAUCUAAAUUCGUUUCAAGAACGUGUUAUUGUACAAUAUCUACAGAAGUCAGAAUGGCUUCUCGAAGGAGUUGCAGCCCUCGAGAAGGGGAUAAUCUAAUCAAUAAGUCAUCCCUUCCCAUUCAUCAUGUUCUGCAGCUCUCUUGUAGAGAGCAACAGAUUGAAGGUGCUCUAACAGAGAUUGCUGUGUUUGUUCCUGAGGACGGCUGGAGAUAACUGGGGCAGCAGAUGAGACUGGUCCUGAUGGCCAGCUGCUGUUUUCAGGGGUGUGAAGAGUCAGAGCCAACACCACCUUAGCCCAGGCUCUGCUGCAGUGGUGAGGUGGGGUGAAGUUGGACGGUUCCUGUGCUCACCUGCAGACUCGUCUUCUUGGCCUCCCUGUCUGUGUCCAAUCAUCCCAGGGAGUGGACCCCUGUGCUCAUCAGAAUCAGUCCUAUAAGGUCCUGUCCAACCAGGGCAAAGGCACA
Alosa sapidissima (American shad) is the source of this 479-nucleotide long non-coding RNA. RefSeq lists it as uncharacterized. The record is from RefSeq and is a predicted model, not a curated record. NCBI's taxonomy places the organism in Eukaryota, Metazoa, Chordata, Actinopteri, Clupeiformes, Clupeidae. The transcript has 3 exons.